GUCGGGAUAGCUCAGUUAGGUAGAGCAGAGGACUGAAAAUCCUCGUGUCACCGGUUCAAAUCUGGUUCCUGACA
Molecule: transfer RNA, 74 nt
Filed under: Rhizanthella gardneri
Lineage: Eukaryota; Viridiplantae; Streptophyta; Magnoliopsida; Asparagales; Orchidaceae
Description: tRNA-Phe
Rfam family: tRNA
About the family: Transfer RNA (tRNA) molecules are approximately 80 nucleotides in length. Their secondary structure includes four short double-helical elements and three loops (D, anti-codon, and T loops).
Source: RNAcentral